RNAcentral lists this transfer RNA (72 nucleotides) under Eucampia zodiacus. RNAcentral describes it as "tRNA-Asn". It matches the Rfam family "tRNA". Rfam says of the family: Transfer RNA (tRNA) molecules are approximately 80 nucleotides in length. Their secondary structure includes four short double-helical elements and three loops (D, anti-codon, and T loops). Lineage: Eukaryota; Bacillariophyta; Thalassiosirophyceae; Eucampiales; Eucampiaceae. The record is from RNAcentral.
UCUUUAGUAGCUCAGUGGUAGAGCGAGUGGCUGUUAACCACCAGGACGUUGGUUCAAAUCCAGCCUAAAGAG